RNAcentral lists this ribosomal RNA (482 nucleotides) under uncultured bacterium. Its description in RNAcentral is "partial 16S ribosomal RNA". It matches the Rfam family "Bacterial small subunit ribosomal RNA", at positions 30 to 507 of the family's 1533-position model. The record is from RNAcentral.
AUUGAACGCUGGCGGCAUGCCUUACACAUGCAAGUCGAACGGUAACAGGUCUUCGGAUGCUGACGAGUGGCGAACGGGUGAGUAAUACAUCGGAACGUGCCCGAUCGUGGGGGAUAACGAGGCGAAAGCUUUGCUAAUACCGCAUACGAUCUACGGAUGAAAGCGGGGGAUCUUCGGACCUCGCGCGGACGGAGCGGCCGAUGGCAGAUUAGGUAGUUGGUGGGAUAAAGGCUUACCAAGCCGACGAUCUGUAGCUGGUCUGAGAGGAUGAUCAGCCACACUGGGACUGAGACACGGCCCAGACUCCUACGGGAGGCAGCAGUGGGGAAUUUUGGACAAUGGGCGAAAGCCUGAUCCAGCCAUGCCGCGUGCAGGAUGAAGGCCUUCGGGUUGUAAACUGCUUUUGUACGGAACGAAAAGCCUCUUUCUAAUAAAGAGGGGUCAUGACGGUACCGUAAGAAUAAGCACCGGCUAACUACGUG